RNAcentral lists this ribosomal RNA (1298 nucleotides) under uncultured bacterium. RNAcentral describes it as "bacterial SSU rRNA". It matches the Rfam family "Bacterial small subunit ribosomal RNA", at positions 102 to 1401 of the family's 1533-position model. The record is from RNAcentral.
ACGGGUGAGUAACGCGUGGGCAACCUGCCUUACACAGGGGGAUAACAGUUAGAAAUGACUGCUAAUACCGCAUAAGACCACGGUACUGCAUGGUAUAGUGGUAAAAACUCCGGUGGUGUAAGAUGGGCCCGCGUCUGAUUAGGUAGUUGGCGGGGUAACGGCCCACCAAGCCGACGAUCAGUAGCCGACCUGAGAGGGUGACCGGCCACAUUGGGACUGAGACACGGCCCAGACUCCUACGGGAGGCAGCAGUGGGGAAUAUUGGUCAAUGGCCGAGAGGCUGAACCAGCCAAGUUGCGUGAGGGAAGAAUGUCCUAAGGAUUGUAAACCUCUUUUGUCGGGGAGCAAAAAGGCUCUGCGGAGUCGUAUUGAGAGUACCCGAAGAAAAAGCAUCGGCUAACUCCGUGCCAGCAGCCGCGGUAAUACGGAGGAUGCGAGCGUUAUCCGGAUUUAUUGGGUUUAAAGGGUGCGCAGGCGGCGUGUCAAGCAAGCGGUAAAAUAGCGGGGCUCAACCCCGUCGAGCCGUUUGAACUGGCGCGCUUGAGUUCAGGCGAGGUAGGCGGAAUUCGUGGUGUAGCGGUGAAAUGCAUAGAUAUCACGAAGAACUCCGAUUGCGAAGGCAGCUUACCAGUCUGCGACUGACGCUCAGGCACGAAAGUGUGGGUAUCGAACAGGAUUAGAUACCCUGGUAGUCCACACAGUAAACGAUGAGCGCUAGGUGUCCGGGUCGCAUGAGACUUGGGUGCCCGAGCGAAAGCGUUAAGCGCUCCACCUGGGGAGUACGCCGGCAACGGUGAAACUCAAAGGAAUUGACGGGGGCCCGCACAAGCGGAGGAACAUGUGGUUUAAUUCGAUGAUACGCGAGGAACCUUACCCGGGCUCAAACGGGAGUGGAAUGGACCAGAGACGGUUCAGCCUACGGGCCGCUUCCGAGGUGCUGCAUGGUUGUCGUCAGCUCGUGCCGUGAGGUGUCGGCUUAAGUGCCAUAACGAGCGCAACCCCCGCCGGCAGUUGCUAACGGGCAAUGCCGAGGACUCUGCCGGGACUGCCGCCGCAAGGCGAGAGGAAGGCGGGGAUGACGUCAAAUCAGCACGGCCCUUACGUCCGGGGCGACACACGUGUUACAAUGGGCGGUACAGCGAGAAGCGAACCUGCGAAGGCAAGCGGAUCUCUUAAAGCUGUUCUCAGUUCGGACUGUAGGCUGCAACUCGCCUACACGAAGCUGGAAUCGCUAGUAAUCGCGGAUCAGCACGCCGCGGUGAAUACGUUCCCGGGUCUUGUACUCACCGCCCGUCAAG